This 236-nucleotide long non-coding RNA is filed under the name Homo sapiens (human). Its description in RNAcentral is "HSALNT0021827". Lineage: Eukaryota; Metazoa; Chordata; Mammalia; Primates; Hominidae. The record is from RNAcentral.
UCCAGGGGUAACAUCAUACUGGAUUUGGAAGUUUUAGUGGGGUCAAUGAUGAGAAGCAAGGUGAUGACAAACCUUGAUGAAAAGAGAGCAAAGCAUGAAGUGUGAGGUCAAGAGCAGAACACAAUAGACUGAGAUGUCGGGAGCCUGAAUGGGAAGAGGAAAGAGGGUAUGAUACCUCCAACUGACAAAUUAUUUUUAAUUGACUUAUUUAUGAAAUACUUAUUGUCUCCUCUAUA